CCUACGGGAGACAGCAGUGAGGAAUAUUGGUCAAUGGACGAGAGUCUGAACCAGCCAAGUAGCGUGAAGGAUGACUGCCCUAUGGGUUGUAAACUUCUUUUAUAAAGGAAUAAAACGAGGCACGUGUGCCUGUUUGCAUGUACUUUAUGAAUAAGGAUCGGCUAACUCCGUGCCAGCAGCCGCGGUAAUACGGAGGAUCCGAGCGUUAUCCGGAUUUAUUGGGUUUAAAGGGAGCGUAGAUGGGUUGUUAAGUCAGUUGUGAAAGUUUGCGGCUCAACCGUAAAAUUGCAAUUGAUACUGGCAGUCUUGAGUGCAGUUGAGGUAGGCGGAAUGCGUGGUGUAGCGGUGAAAUGCUUAGAUAUCACGCAGAACCCCGAUUGCGAAGGCAGCUUACUAAACUGUGACUGACAUUGAGGCUCGAAAGUGUGGGUAUCAAACAGGAUUAGAUACCCUGGUAGUC
Molecule: ribosomal RNA, 460 nt
Filed under: uncultured bacterium
Lineage: Bacteria
Description: partial 16S ribosomal RNA
Rfam family: Bacterial small subunit ribosomal RNA
Source: RNAcentral